RNAcentral lists this ribosomal RNA (1536 nucleotides) under Bacteroides fragilis. Its description in RNAcentral is "bacterial SSU rRNA". It matches the Rfam family "Bacterial small subunit ribosomal RNA". The record is from RNAcentral. Lineage: Bacteria; Pseudomonadati; Bacteroidota; Bacteroidia; Bacteroidales; Bacteroidaceae.
CUUUUACAAUGAAGAGUUUGAUCCUGGCUCAGGAUGAACGCUAGCUACAGGCUUAACACAUGCAAGUCGAGGGGCAUCAGGAAGAAAGCUUGCUUUCUUUGCUGGCGACCGGCGCACGGGUGAGUAACACGUAUCCAACCUGCCCUUUACUCGGGGAUAGCCUUUCGAAAGAAAGAUUAAUACCCGAUGGGAUAAUCAUUCCGCAUGGUUUGAUUAUUAAAGGAUUCCGGUAAAGGAUGGGGAUGCGUUCCAUUAGGUUGUUGGUGAGGUAACGGCCCACCAAGCCUUCGAUGGAUAGGGGUUCUGAGAGGAAGGUCCCCCACAUUGGAACUGAGACACGGUCCAAACUCCUACGGGAGGCAGCAGUGAGGAAUAUUGGUCAAUGGGCGCGAGCCUGAACCAGCCAAGUAGCGUGAAGGAUGACUGCCCUAUGGGUUGUAAACUUCUUUUAUAUUAGAAUAAAGUGCAGUAUGUAUACUGUUUUGUAUGUAUAAUAUGAAUAAGGAUCGGCUAACUCCGUGCCAGCAGCCGCGGUAAUACGGAGGAUCCGAGCGUUAUCCGGAUUUAUUGGGUUUAAAGGGAGCGUAGGUGGACUGGUAAGUCAGUUGUGAAAGUUUGCGGCUCAACCGUAAAAUUGCAGUUGAUACUGUCAGUCUUGAGUACAGUAGAGGUGGGCGGAAUUCGUGGUGUAGCGGUGAAAUGCUUAGAUAUCACGAAGAACUCCGAUUGCGAAGGCAGCUCACUGGACUGCAACUGACACUGAUGCUCGAAAGUGUGGGUAUCAAACAGGAUUAGAUACCCUGGUAGUCCACACAGUAAACGAUGAAUACUCGCUGUUUGCGAUAUACAGUAAGCGGCCAAGCGAAAGCAUUAAGUAUUCCACCUGGGGAGUACGCCGGCAACGGUGAAACUCAAAGGAAUUGACGGGGGCCCGCACAAGCGGAGGAACAUGUGGUUUAAUUCGAUGAUACGCGAGGAACCUUACCCGGGCUUAAAUUGCAGUGGAAUGAUGUGGAAACAUGUCAGUGAGCAAUCACCGCUGUGAAGGUGCUGCAUGGUUGUCGUCAGCUCGUGCCGUGAGGUGUCGGCUUAAGUGCCAUAACGAGCGCAACCCUUAUCUUCAGUUACUAACAGGUCAUGCUGAGGACUCUGGAGAGACUGCCGUCGUAAGAUGUGAGGAAGGUGGGGAUGACGUCAAAUCAGCACGGCCCUUACGUCCGGGGCUACACACGUGUUACAAUGGGGGGUACAGAAGGCAGCUACCUGGUGACAGGAUGCUAAUCCCAAAAGCCUCUCUCAGUUCGGAUCGAAGUCUGCAACCCGACUUCGUGAAGCUGGAUUCGCUAGUAAUCGCGCAUCAGCCACGGCGCGGUGAAUACGUUCCCGGGCCUUGUACACACCGCCCGUCAAGCCAUGGGAGCCGGGGGUACCUGAAGUACGUAACCGCAAGGAGCGUCCUAGGGUAAAACUGGUGACUGGGGCUAAGUCGUAACAAGGUAGCCGUACCGGAAGGUGCGGCUGGAACACCUCCUUUCU